This 767-nucleotide non-coding RNA is filed under the name Anthonomus rectirostris. The record is from RNAcentral. Lineage: Eukaryota; Metazoa; Arthropoda; Insecta; Coleoptera; Curculionidae.
UAUAGGAAUUUUAGCUUAUAGUUUUUAUACAAGUUUAUUUUACAUGUAAAGUUUAGUUUGAAAAAUUUAAUUUUUAGAAAAAAAUUUACGUUGAUUUACAGUAGUAAGAUUUGUUAAUUUAAGAGAUUGAGAAAUAGUAAAUUUAAGAGUUUAAACAAAUUUUGUGCCAGCAGUUGCGGUUAGACAAAUUAGGCAAUAAAAAUUUAUUAGUAAUAGUUAAUUAUAAAUCUUAAGUUUAUGAAAGGAUUUUUUAAGUGAAAUUUCAUAUUUUUAUAAGCUUAAAAUUGGUUAAUGAAGCUAGUAAGGUUUCUUUAUAAACUAGGAUUAGAUACCCUAUUAUUGAAAAAGUAAAAUUUUAGCUAGGUUAUUAGUAGAUAUAUUCUUGAAAACCAAAAAAGAUGGCGGUAUUUUAGUCUAUUCAGAGGAACCUGUUCUAUAAUUGAUAAUCCACGAUUUGAGUUACCUAAUUUUUUAGUUUUCAUAUCGUUGUAAUUUAAAUAUUUUAAUAGGAUAAAUAUUUACAAUUCUUAAGAGAUAAAAAUCAAAUCAAGAUGUAGCUUAUAGUUAGGAAGAAAUGGGUUACAAUAAAUUUAUUUAAAUGGAUUUAUUUUUUUAAUAAGAUUUUGAAGGUGGAUUUGAAAGUAAUUUUUUAUAAAUUUUAAAAAUGGCUUAGCUCUAAAAUAUGUACAUAUCGCCCGUCGCUUUCAUCUUUAAAAUGAAAUAAGUCGUAACAAAGUAGAGGUACUGGAAAGUGUCUCUAGAAGCCA